Molecule: long non-coding RNA, 175 nt
Organism: Anolis sagrei ordinatus
Lineage: Eukaryota; Metazoa; Chordata; Lepidosauria; Squamata; Anolidae
Source: RefSeq, a predicted model, not a curated record
CCUUGAGUGUCCAUGUGAAGGAUCUUCCAGUAGCCCAGAAGCAGAAAAUUAAACUGACUUGGUAUGCACAUGUGAAAUGAAGCAUUCAGAUCAGCCCAAGAACAAGCCAUUCGAAGCAAUGCCAUCAAAGCCAGAAUUGAAAAGUCGACAACAGAUCCCAAGUGUAGACUCUGCA